This 853-nucleotide long non-coding RNA is filed under the name Struthio camelus australis. RNAcentral's name for it is "lncRNA (ENSSCUG00000007561.1)". The record is from RNAcentral. Lineage: Eukaryota; Metazoa; Chordata; Aves; Struthioniformes; Struthionidae.
UUUCCAUGUAACUAUCCUUUUAGCUUGUUAGUGAGCUAUAAUAUCUGUCUGUCUACACAUCUUUCUGCAGGAUAAUAAAUGUUUAGAAUCUUCUCUGCAGCAAUGACAUUUCUGAAGGGGCUAAGGAUGUUUUACUACAAUUCUUUGAACUUGAACCUUGUGUGACAAGGAAGACACAGCAAGUAAAAGCCUUCAUGUGUCCCACAGCUGCCUCCCUAUCAGAGUCAAGAUCCGAUUUCAUUCCUGAAAGGUCCUAUUGUGUUCAGAAGUCACUGCUGGUUGAACAGUAACCUUCAGGACAAGAUGUUGUAGCCAAAACUGGCCUUUAUAGCUUAUCCCUGGAUAGAUAGCACAUGCAGUGCACUUGCGACAUAUGAAUUCUGCAGCAGUUUUGGCUACAUUGCCUACUAGCGCUUCUGCUGCUGGAAUCCUGGAGUCACAAUGUGAAAAUGUGGAUGAUUUGUGUCCAGCAGAAUUUUUGAAAAUGAACAUGGGAGUGGGUAAAAAGCAUGGUUUGGAUACCAUGUGCAGUAAGAAGGGCUCUCAUCAUUUCUACCAAAACACCCUGUCAAGCCUCUGCUCUGCCUAUACUCAUAGAAACCAAUAUCAUGACAACGGAUGUGCAAGUGAAGGACUUCUAUAUGAAUUUUAUACAGAGGCACAAGAUCUUUUUAUAGGGGAAGCAUAUGGAGCAGAGUUUAGACUUAAAAGCCCACUGAUUCUACUUGGAAGCAAAAAUGGACAGCGAAGGUUCUUAGUUAAAAACACAAUUCUCAAAACAAGACAACUACCAGAAUUUAUUCAUUCUGGAGGAUUAAAAACAUCAUAUGCACAGAAGAAAUUAUGCCAGUGA